AUGGCUCAGGAUGAACGCUAGCUACAGGCUAACACAUGCAAGUCGAGGGGCAGCAUUGGAGUAGCAAUACUCAGAUGGCGACCGGCGCACGGGUGAGUAACACGUAUCCAACCUGCCGCUUACUCGGGGAUAGCCUUUCGAAAGAAAGAUUAAUACCCGAUGGUAUAAAGAGUUCGCAUGUUCUCUUUAUUAAAGAAUUUCGGUAAGCGAUGGGGAUGCGUUCCAUUAGAUAGUUGGCGGGGUAACGGCCCACCAAGUCUACGAUGGAUAGGGGGUUCUGAGAGGAAGGUCCCCCACAUUGGAACUGAGACACGGUCCAAACUCCUACGGGAGGCAGCAGUGAGGAAUAUUGGUCAAUGGACGAGAGUCUGAACCAGCCAAAAGUAGCGUGAAGGAUGACUGCCCUAUGGGUUGUAAACUUCUUUUAUAAGGGAAUAAAGUGAGGGACGUGUCCCUUUUUGUAUGUACCUUAUGAAUAAGGAUCGGCUAACUCCGUGCCAGCCGCCGC
Molecule: ribosomal RNA, 508 nt
Filed under: uncultured bacterium
Lineage: Bacteria
Description: bacterial SSU rRNA
Rfam family: Bacterial small subunit ribosomal RNA
Source: RNAcentral